AGUGAAUAGAUACCCUGGUAGUCCACGCCGUAAACGAUGGAUGCUAGCUGUACGGAGUAUCGACCCUCUGUGUAGCAAAGCUAACGCGUUAAGCAUCCCGCCUGUGGAGUACGAGCGCAAGCUUAAAACAUAAAGGAAUUGACGGGACCCGCACAAGCGGUGGAGCGUGUUGUUUAAUUCGAGGAUAAGCGAGGAACCUUACCCAGGUUUGACAUCCUACUAAGGUUUCCGAAAGGAAACUGUGCCUUCGGGCCGUAGUGACAGGUGAUGCAUGGCCGUCGUCAGCUCGUGUCGUGAGAUGUUUGGUUAAGUCCAUCAACGAGCGCAACCCUUACUAGUUAGUUGGAUUUUUCUAGCUAGACUGCUCCGGAAACGGGGAGGAAGGAGGGGAUGAGGUCAGGUCCGUAUUUCCCUUACAUCUGGGGC
Molecule: ribosomal RNA, 426 nt
Filed under: uncultured bacterium
Lineage: Bacteria
Description: bacterial SSU rRNA
Rfam family: Bacterial small subunit ribosomal RNA
Source: RNAcentral